This is a long non-coding RNA of Neodiprion virginianus, 1707 nucleotides long. RefSeq lists it as uncharacterized. The record is from RefSeq and is a predicted model, not a curated record. The transcript has 5 exons. NCBI's taxonomy places the organism in Eukaryota, Metazoa, Arthropoda, Insecta, Hymenoptera, Diprionidae.
CUUUAACCCGACGCAAUUCGUCGGUUAAUACUUUAACAUCUUUCCCGACAAUAUCUUAUCCCAUGUUUCAUAAUCCCGCGUAACCGACUGUAUUUUACUGCUGUUAUGGUUAUCGCAUUGAGAAAACAAACAGUCAGUGGUAUCAUUAAAGUUCACGUCGUUUAGCCGGCGAGAAAUUUUCUCCUUGAGAAUUAGUUGCUUUCAAGUUUACGCCUAAUCCAACUUUACAACUGCAGUUAUUAUGUCUUCGCCUAAUUGGGAUUUCUUAAACAUGUAACGCGUUAUUCAACAGCGACGUUAAAAUUUAAAACGUACUCCCAUUAGCGUUUGCCAAACCUUUGUCUGCAACAAAGCCUCGAAACUGUUUCAAGAUAAAAUUUGUUGAUUCUUAUUCACGCAGAUGCAAUGUCUUAUCAUCGUCGCCUCUCUGCCUUUCCAUAAUCUGCUUUGAUCCUCGGUGCUUUCGUCGCCUCAAAUAAUCCGUAGUAUCAACAGGUAGGGCAGGUAGGUAGGAACAUUCGAUACGCGCGCCAUCUUUGUAUCGAAAACGAUUUCUGAACCCAAACAACUCGCACACUUCGUAGGAGACGGUCGUCCAGUUACCGAACGCUUACCGAGUGCUCCGAAAUGAAUCGUUAUUAUUUCGACGGUACGUAGUUUUGUGAUUGGUGAGUGAGUUACCACUUUACGAUGACAACUGCAAGAGUUUGGCGACGAAGCAAGUGACGUGAACAGGACAAGGUGUUUAUUACGUUCAACCGAAAAACACUGCGAUGGAUACACGAUUUGAGUGAUUUUUUAUUCCUACCACUGCUUUAAUUUCCGGAAUUUGCCUAACGAUCAACUUGACGUCAGUUUGAAGAAUACAAGACCAGUCCAGUUACUAUAAAGCAACUCUGUCAAUCAACGUUGGCCGUAAGUAGCAGCCUGUAGUUUCUGCCUCGCAGUCUCGAUAGUGGUGAGAAAGGGCCACGUCUGGGUCGACCACGAAUUGCUCGAACCCUAAAACGAACGUCGAGUCGGAAUGCGAAGGUACGACAAUGCAACGCGCCAUCUGUACUUACCGCAGCUUGAACAAGAACGAGAAAUGUUAGAGUAAUGAAAAUCCCAGCGACAAUGAUCGUCUUCACUUGCCGUGGAAGUGACGGCCAUGUCGACAACGUCGGCUUGUGCAGCAACGUGUACUUCACCAUUGCAUUCUUAUACGUCGGACACUGUACAGAAAACUGACUCAAACAUCAUUCACUCACCUGGCCACGAUAACACGCCUGUUAUCAGCAGUGGCGUCGGGUACUCAGCGUGUGAUUAGCGGCAUCAAUUCAACGAUGUCCAAUGUAAUUCUUUCAGUAACAUCAAACAUUCAACGUUUUUUUUGGAUCGGGUUUAAUGGAUCUGGUUUACCGAUAUCAAUAUACGCCUCUGGUUUCCAAAUCCAGGAAGGAUUUACCAAAUGACACAGGUGUGGUCAAUGUGAAUCCUAUUCGUCUGUUGACGUCUUACAACCUCUUCCGACUUGACUUGACACCUCACUGAAUCUUGGGCAUACCUACAUAAUGUUAAAUAACAUUGUUGCAGUCCUCUUUGUCUGACACUUUGAUUCUAUUUGUCUGUUUGUUAAAUUACUACACGUACACACGAACACUUGUAUUAUACAUAGUAUAUAUUGUACUAUAUCAAAAGGCGUAUAAAAUAAACUAAAACUUUGAA